GGGCGGUAGCUGCGAAGACUGGAGCCGCGUGCAUCCCCCGCCCUACCCCCCGGGGCUAGUAGCGUGGCCUUCGUGGACCCCUUCAUUUCAAGAAGUCUCCCAGGCGUAAGAAUAUCCAUCAGGGCGAGUAGAACCUCGGCCGCGCUGGCUGGAGGCCUCACAGGCGCAGUUGUCUUCGCGGCUAUGAGCUGCUGCCUGCUCCACCACACUCUUGGUACCCGCGCUGUAGGACUCAGCCCCCACUUAUUUCACCCCGACCACAGACACUCCUGAACUUUGGUUUUUCCUGCCCUGUUUUGCCUUCUUCACUGACCUUCCUUCGCGGCCUUGGGUCAGUUCCUAAGACAGUUUGACCUUUCCCAUGGCUUCGCCCUCUUUGCAGACAUAAUAGUCUCUCUAAACCUAGCUUUCCACUACACUCCGUGCCCAGACAACCCCAUUACCUGCUUCACAUACCCUCAACACAGCCGUCUCACCUGUCCUCCAUGUCUCCUUGUGGUCUUCACGUCUCAGAACCUGACCCUGAACUUCUCCAAGUUGCUGAGGCCCCAUGCCUUUCAGAUAGCCUUGCUUCCUUCACCCUGUCUCAUCCCCAGCCGUCCCCUGAACAGCAGUAUGAAAACUGAGGACAUGGGUGACCAUGGUGGAGCCCGUCUGACAGACAUUCAGCCAGGCAGUGUGGAACAACUUACUGCAUGUCAGAGCUUUUCAAAACAAUAUAAACACAUUCAAAAGGAAUAAAACAGGACUGACUCAUUAAGACCAUCUAGGAUACUGCAAUCCAUUUGUGCACAAGGGUCAGCAAAAAGAGCACUAAGUAUACAGCAGAAGCCGGAGAUUUCCUCAAGAGAACUAGAAGUGUCCAGCUUAGGAAUGGCAUAUGGAGGUGAACGAUACUCUCAGAAACCCCUCUACCUUUCUCAAGCCAGCAGGAGCUCUAGAAAAAUCUCAAUGCCUACCAAGCCACUGUGAUCCUAGGAUCCAGAUAAUUGAGUUUGGAGGUUCCCAAGGCAAUUUGCUUAUUCUCCUCACGAUCUGUGGCCUGAACUUCCAGCUUCAUCAACUGCUCCUCCAGUCUCUGCACAGCCUUCUUCUUUGACUCUACUACCCUAGAAGAAUGACAGUUAUUAAAAAACAAGGCUGACCUCUGGACAAAAGCACACUGCAAUUGUACUCUGACUCUUAGAAGUAGUAAACCCAUAAAAGGUCCAUGUAGAGAUUUCCAAAAGACCAAUCAGACAUCUUAGCUGAGGGACCAGGGCCUGUGAGCAAUGCUGCACAAACUUCUUCCUUUUAGCCAAACAACCCCUGACUUUACACAGUACCAGAUACAUACUUCUUGGUCUUUGCAUCCUUCAUGACUUUGGCAUCAGCUUUAGCACUUUUCAGGUCCCUCCGAGCAUCUGCAAGCUGAUCCUUCUUGGCAUCAAUCUAGGUGGGGAAGAAUAACAGUAAAGUCAAGAGAAAUAUGAACCAAAGACAAAACAGAAGGGCUCCAUCAAAGAUGGAGAAACCUGGAAAUUGCCUCCAUCAGGAGAGAAGUCUGAGGUGAAAAGGAAGUCUUGUGAAAUCCAUAUCCAUAAAGACAGGAAGUUCAUCCUUUUAAGCUGGAAUCCUUGAAGCACCACUGGAAAAUCUCAGUUCCUCUUGGGAUGCUGCUUACAGACAGCAGCAGAUAAUGCCAUGGAGCUAAAGUUCCAACUAGUGAGGUCAAGUGGCUGAGGGGCAGAACAACACCAUCCCUGUGGUUACCCUGCUCAAGAGAACCUCUCAGAGUAAAUAAUAUGCUUGACUCAAACAUUGGACUUCUGCUGAACCUAGAAUUUUUGUUAGAUACACAACCUAAGGUUGGAAACAGAGGCCACCACUGUAAAAGAAUCUAGUAUGUUUUACUAUGAGUGGCUUACUUCCAACAUCUAUGUUAUCCAAAUCCAAACUAAAGGAACUGAUUCUAUACACAAAACCAUCACAGAUGCCACUAGCCAGAUUCUUAGGCUAGAAAUACAGCAAACCACAAUCUUUUAACCAUUUCUG
This is a long non-coding RNA of Fukomys damarensis (Damara mole-rat), 2034 nucleotides long. RefSeq lists it as uncharacterized. The record is from RefSeq and is a predicted model, not a curated record. Lineage: Eukaryota; Metazoa; Chordata; Mammalia; Rodentia; Bathyergidae. The transcript has 4 exons.